GCCCAACCCUAAUCACAACUGAAUCAUGUUUCUUUUUUUUAUAUUUGUGUCCUGCUUUUAAGGUGGUGGUGAUGAAGAGACAGGAAAAAGAGGCUUUGGAAGAGGAGGUUUCAGAGGCCAGAAUGAGGAAGUGUUUUCCAAGGUCUCAACAGCAGACAAGGAAAAUCACGAAGCAAGUGAAAAUGCAGGACCCAAGGUUGUCUAUGUGCCGCCUCCCCCUCCAGAAGAGGAGAGUUCCAUAUUUUCCCAUUAUGCCACAGGCAUUAAUUUUGACAAAUAUGAUGACAUCCUUGUGGAUGUGAGUGGCAGCAAUUCUCCAAAGGCUAUUAUGACUUUUGAUGAAGCAGGACUUUGUGAAUCACUGAGAAAGAAUGUAACGAAGUCUGGAUAUGUGAAGCCUACUCCUGUCCAGAAACAUGGAAUCCCCAUUAUUUCUGCUGGACGAGAUCUGAUGGCUUCUUACCAUCUUUUGGGGGUUUCUUGCUUUUAGACUAGUCGACUAGUCGGAUACAAAACUUUCGUUUAAACGACAAAUUAGUCAAAUUAGUCGUCGC
This 554-nucleotide long non-coding RNA is filed under the name Sinocyclocheilus anshuiensis. RNAcentral's name for it is "lncRNA (ENSSANG00000004557.1)". The record is from RNAcentral. Lineage: Eukaryota; Metazoa; Chordata; Actinopteri; Cypriniformes; Cyprinidae.